AGGGGCGACACAAAGACGGUCCUUUGACUUACUUUUACAGUUACCGGUUUAGUUGUGUUUUGGUCUUCAACGAGAGAACUUAGUAAUUUUCGCAGGAAGCCACUCUAGCAAGAAUUAAGCAAGAGUCGACACUUAGAUUCUGCACUUCCAGGGACUUUGACACACUAUCUCCAAAAUUGGACUUAGAAUUUUUCUCACCUUCGUGCUACUUUGACAAUCUAUCUGCACGAACGGACUUAGAAAUUUUCGCACCUUCGAGAUACUUUGACAAUCUAUCGCCACGAGUGAACUUAGAGAUUUCUGCACUUUCGGAAGACUUUGAAAAUCUAUCUCCACGAAUGGACUUAGAAAUUUUCGCAGGAAGCCACUCUAGCAAGAAUUAACGAAGAGUUGACGCAAGUAUAUUUUCUAUCACUCUUAUUUUCAUAAUUCUGUACUGUUUCUUUUGUUUCAGACUUAGAUUCUGCACUUCCAGGGACUUUGACAAACUAUCUCCAAAAUUGGACUUAGAAAUUUUCUCACCUUCGAGAUACUUUGACAAUCUAGCGCCACGAGUGAACUUAGAAAUUUUUCCACUUUCGGGGGACUUUGACAAUCUAUUUCCACGAGUGGACUUAGAAAUUUUCACAUGAUACCAUUCGAGCGAGUAUUAACGAAAACUUAAAAACCCGUUACAAUCACGCACGUUGCAAUGAUGUAAUCGAGUGUUAGUACCGCUAAAAUAAAUUUAUCGUGAAAUAGAAGCAGUGUUUGUUCGUUCGCGUUUCGCGAUUUAAAUCAUAAGUGUUUUUGCACAGACUGCGUGCAAUGCAGUCUUUAGAGUCAGUGUUUGUUCGCGUAGUUUUUUGAUUUUUUAACAGUCGCACAGACUGUACUUAUAAAAUAUAGUAGAGUUUCGUUAAGUAAAUUCAGUGAUCGUUCGUUAAUAAAUAACUAUCGCGAGUUAGAGUCAGUGCAUCACUGAAGAGGAUCUCAACCAACUUCGAUGUCGACCUACCUCAUUUUCAACCAACUACAAAUCAUCCACCCUCAAUUUCGACCUAAGUCGCGGUCCAGUGUUUUGGAGCCGUCGCAGAACUUCUUAAGUAGUAAGUUAAUUUUUAAGUC
This is a long non-coding RNA of Vespula vulgaris, 1107 nucleotides long. RefSeq lists it as uncharacterized. The record is from RefSeq and is a predicted model, not a curated record. NCBI's taxonomy places the organism in Eukaryota, Metazoa, Arthropoda, Insecta, Hymenoptera, Vespidae. The transcript has 3 exons.